UCGGAUCGUUUUAGAAACAUCAGUGGCCAACGGUCGUCAGGAUCGUUGAGCUGCAUUGGCGGGAUUUCGCCGUCUACGUUUCUCUUUCUUCGCGGACGAACACGCGCUGGGGCUGCAAGCUUGCAGAUCCCUGGUCCUUGACUGGAUAUGCGUUAGGGGCUUGUAGCUCAGUUGGUUAGAGCGCGCGCUUGAUAAGCGUGAGGUCGGAAGUUCAAGUCUUCCCAGGCCCACCACACUCAUCGAGCGAGCAUUCGUCUUCUGGUUACGGGGCCAUAGCUCAGCUGGGAGAGCGCGUGCUUUGCAAGCAUGAGGUCGUCGGUUCGAUCCCGUCUGGCUCCACCAGAUGGUUUGAUCACCGAGAGCUCAACCGUCGUCCGCGAAACAUCACUUCGCACUUACUAGUCCGGAUGGACAGUAAGCUGCGUGAUUUCUGACAUCGUAAAGAGGAGAUCGAUCCGAGUUGGAUCGGGCAACAAGCAAUUGUUGCGCGAUACUUCAUUAUCUCCGGAUCAUUUCGGCGCUCGUGCGUCUUUCAAGGUCAAACUUGGGAGGCAAGCGAGUUGUAAAUGAUCCUUUUAGCGAAGCUUGACCGCCUCGCUAUCGGAACGAUCUUACGAAGCAAGCUGGUCUUUCUAAUCAAUGUCCGGCUGCGCAUAGCAUUCAUCGAGGGUGCGUGCCGAAAGGCAAUUGCGCAGACAACAUUCUGCCGAGUGUGUGGACAUUGAUAAUGAGAGCAAUCAAGUGCCUUAAGGGUGUUCGGUGGAUGCCUUGGCGCUGAGAGGCGAUGAAGGACGUGCUACGCUGCGAUAAGCCGUGGGGAGCUGCGAAGAAGCUUUGAUCCAUGGAUUUCCG
This 852-nucleotide unclassified non-coding RNA is filed under the name Bradyrhizobium sp. RNAcentral's name for it is "partial 16S-23S ribosomal RNA intergenic spacer". The stretch from base 736 to 852 matches the Rfam family "Bacterial large subunit ribosomal RNA", at positions 1 to 116 of the family's 2925-position model. Lineage: Bacteria; Pseudomonadati; Pseudomonadota; Alphaproteobacteria; Hyphomicrobiales; Nitrobacteraceae. The record is from RNAcentral.